This 442-nucleotide ribosomal RNA is filed under the name uncultured ammonia-oxidizing beta proteobacterium. Its description in RNAcentral is "bacterial SSU rRNA". It matches the Rfam family "Bacterial small subunit ribosomal RNA", at positions 198 to 621 of the family's 1533-position model. The record is from RNAcentral. Lineage: Bacteria; Pseudomonadati; Pseudomonadota; Betaproteobacteria.
GGAGGAAAGCAGGGGAUCGCAAGACCUUGCGCUUUUGGAGUGGCCGAUGCCUGAUUAGCUAGUUGGUGGGGUAAUGGCCUACCAAAGCGACGAUCAGUAGUUGGUCUGAGAGGACGACCAGCCACACUGGGACUGAGGCACGGCCCAGACUCCUACGGGAGGCAGCAGUGGGGAAUUUUGGACAAUGGGCGAAAGCCUGAUCCAGCAAUGCCGCGUGAGUGAAGAAGGCCUUCGGGUUGUAAAGCUCUUUCAGUCGAGAAGAAAAGGUUGUGACUAAUAAUCACAACUCAUGACGGUAUCGACAGAAGAAGCACCGGCUAACUACGUGCCAGCAGCCGCGGUAAUACGUAGGGUGCGAGCGUUAAUCGGAAUUACUGGGCGUAAAGGGUGCGCAGGCGGCUUUGUAAGUCAGAUGUGAAAUCCCCGGGCUUAACCUGGGAAU